CAUUGAUCUCUGGUUUCUGGCAUUAUAUGAAAAAAAGCUAAAACAGUUUGGAUGAGGCUUUUGUUUUGGAUAUGCAAAUAAAAAUGUAGUUCACUUUUUACAAAAAAGAAAAUCGUUACAAGCCUCAACACGAAGUGAAGCACUGGAAUAUACAUGGCCACCAUCGAGGUCUUAAUGAACAUGAGUGCUGCUAUAAAUGACACAAAGCCCGCUGGGAUUUCUCUUUCCAAAUGAAGUGUAGUGGAGGUUGAGUAUGGACUGAAGUCUGACAGAUGAACUGUGCUUAAUGGCCACUUCCAGAGAGGUCUGAUCUCCACUGGGCUGUGUACACACAUCAGCAGGUGUCUGAUUUUUUGACUCAUGAGUUCAUACCAUCUUCAUCGCACACUUUAGGAUCAAAGCAGCACAUUUGUGAGGGGUUAAACUGUCAAACUCAUGAGAGACUAGAGCCAGAUGUCAAGACCACCACACCAACACCAGCCCAGGCCUUCACAGAUGAGUCCACAGCCAGUAAAAGUAACGGUCAGGGGCUGCAUCCUACUGAGCAACUCCAAGAACCAGAAACUGAACAGAUCCCGGAGAACAAGAGGUCUGGGGGGGAUCCUGGGAAUCUCAUGACACAGAGAAGCUGUGAAUGUGGUGAUCCCCCAACCUGAUGAGAUGGGUGCUGGUUUUACAGCUGUUGUCUAUCAAGAUUCGACUGAGACAGCUGGAAGAUCACCGAAUGUUGCGCUGAAAAGCUUUGAAAGGUGAGGGAGAAUACAUGAUAACACAUUCGCUUUCAUUUCUGACACGUCACGAAUCCCCCUUAUUUCUCAACCCUUGACUGCAUUCUGAUACGUAUAGCCUACUUUUGAGAAUCCAAUCCUAUCAAAUCUGUAGUGACCUCUGUAACAGUAAUACCUCUUUUACAAUGUGCCAUUUUUGGGGUUUAUUAUAUAUGUUUUUCCUACAGCACAAACAAUAUGCAUUUGUGGAGCAAUAUUUUAUAUGUGCAUGUACACAGACACACACCUGUUAGUGUGGAUGUGUGUGUGUGCUGCAGUAAUGAUAUCUGCUGAGCUGCACACUCUAAAGUGCCCCUGGGGGAGCCAGCAGAUAAAUCAGUUUAAGCCCUGGACCCCAUUUAAAAAGGCUUUGGCAGGUUGAUGUGAUAUCCACUCCAAUACUUUACACCAGCCUCUCAUUCAGGUAAAUAGGCUCUUACUCUGGCCUGACCCACACUCUCUGCUAUCCAGUUGUGUUUAUUUCAUUAACUCAUCCGUACAGAGUUUCCAGUGACACAGGAUUUCAGCUGAUCCUGGGCUGAAGAUGAUGGCUGUGAUAGAAGGUGUCUGAUGUGCUGUGACUUAUGGGUGACGCUCAAGUGACUCUGUGGCAGUGCGGAUGGAUUCGGAUCAGGACGGUCUGUAGAUUUGGGUUUAUGGUGGCAUUCCUGUAGGUGAUCUCCAGCAGUUCAAAGACUGUUUACAACCUUAAUCAUUGAUAAAAUGGCCCCUAGCACCUAGCCCCCUACCUAGACAACAUUUUCCUGCGCUCCUGAUUCAAAGUGCACGUGAUGCUGCGUUAUACUCCACUGUACCUCAUUAUGGCCAAAUUGUUUUUUACUAUUAUUAACAUUUGUAAUAUUUUAUUUUCACACAAUAUUGUGCUAUUAUUG
Molecule: long non-coding RNA, 1660 nt
Organism: Cyprinus carpio (common carp)
Lineage: Eukaryota; Metazoa; Chordata; Actinopteri; Cypriniformes; Cyprinidae
Source: Ensembl